GACAGAGGAUGCAAGCGUUGUUCGGAAUUAUUGGGCGUAAAGAGCUCGUAGGCGGUUUGUUGCGUCUAUCGUGAAAACCUGCAGCUUAACUGUGGGCUUGCGGUGGAUACGGGCAGACUUGAGUUCGGUAGGGGAGACUGGAAUUCCCGGUGUAGCGGUGAAAUGCGCAGAUAUCAGGAAGAACACCAACGGCGAAAGCACUCUGCUGGGCCGACACUGACACUGAGAGACGAAAGCUAGGGGAGCGAAUGGG
This 253-nucleotide ribosomal RNA is filed under the name uncultured bacterium. Its description in RNAcentral is "partial 16S ribosomal RNA". It matches the Rfam family "Bacterial small subunit ribosomal RNA", at positions 524 to 776 of the family's 1533-position model. The record is from RNAcentral.